Molecule: ribosomal RNA, 220 nt
Filed under: uncultured Entrophospora
Lineage: Eukaryota; Fungi; Glomeromycota; Glomeromycetes; Entrophosporales; Entrophosporaceae
Description: uncultured Claroideoglomus partial small subunit ribosomal RNA
Rfam family: Eukaryotic small subunit ribosomal RNA
Source: RNAcentral
CCAAUAGCGUAUAUUAAAGUUGUUGCAGUUAAAAAGCUCGUAGUUGAAUUUCGGGAUUGACACAUCGGUCGUGCCUUAAGGGGUAUGAACUGGUGUAGUCAAUUUCUCACCUUCUGGAGAACCGCGAUGCCCUUAAUUGGGUGUCGUGGGGAACCAGGACCUUUACUUUGAAAAAAUUAGAGUGUUUAAAGCAGGCAUUUUGCUUGAAUACAUUAGCAUG